Molecule: long non-coding RNA, 3409 nt
Organism: Dicentrarchus labrax (European seabass)
Lineage: Eukaryota; Metazoa; Chordata; Actinopteri; Moronidae
Exons: 3
Source: RefSeq, a predicted model, not a curated record
UGAGCUGAAAGAGGCAGAACAGAAGACAGAAUCAAUAGUGUGCAAAACACAGAGAGCUUUUCAUUUAAUGCAACAGAAUGCCGAGGUGUGAAGGGAGCUCUGUGUGUUUGCUUUCUGGACUGCAGCCCUGACAGCUGACGUCCAGACUGUUGAGGUGAUUCCACACUUGACUUCCUGCAGUUCUCCCAUCCAUCCAUCUGCUUCCUAUAGCUCUGCUCCAGGUUGGAUCUGCACCAUUCUGUGUUACUGGCUGUUAAAUAUGCUGCAUGCUCAUUUAUACAUGAGGGAAAAGUGAGAGGCAGCAAGAGAUUUUUUAUUUUUCCCUAAAGUAAAAUCAUCCACGGCUCUCUCAUCCCACCCACACUCAAGUGACAGCUGGGAUAGACAGGAAAGGGGGACAGAGAGAGGGGAUGACACGCAGCAAAGGACCACAGGUCGGAUUCGAACCCGGGCUGCUGCAGCAACUCCGUACAUGGACUGCCAGCUCUACCGACUGAGCCAACCGGGCGCUCGAUUUCUUACUAUGUUUAAGCAAAAAGAAACUGUUGUUAUUCCCCGAUCAGCAGUUAGAGUAAACAGUGAGAAGCUUGAAGCUGUGAUAAAGCCUGCAGGGGGUAGGAAGGAUUAGAAAUAACUUCCAUUUACACAUUUUAACCCCAGGCUCAUUACAGAAGGAGCAGUGAUGUGAUGAGAAAGGCAACCUCUGGGAGUGCUCCUUGCCCUUUUCGUCCUUGCUGUGACUGACUUUUUUCUUUUUGGAUGUCUGAGGGAUUCUAGGCCUGUGAUUGGUUGAUCAACUAUUCUAAUCAUUCAAACCUACACACUGAAACUUCAAUACAUGUUUUAGCUUACAAAAGACCGUCAUCAAAUUGCAAAUACUUUGCUUAUUACAGCCACCAAUGGAAUUAUUUUUGACAUAGGAGAUCAUGUUGUGAUCUGUGUAACUUUGUCUUGUGUAUAAGCAGCAUUUCAGCACCUUGAGCCACGCUGCCACUACAAUCCUCUAUCACUGUGUACACUCUAAUACCAGAUAGGUUAAUUCAACUUUUACUAAACUGAUUACAUCAAACAUUAGUAAAGUAAAACUAACUCGAUUUUGUAAGUUUAAAACAUUCCUUUUUUAAGUAGCUUUAGUCAUUUUAAGUGACACUGUCUUAGUUUUGGAAUUUUUAUUUGUACUGUGAAAACAAGGAAUAUUUCUGUUACUUACAAAACUAAGUUAGUGUCACUAAAAUUACUAGUAAAAGCUGCUUAAUCAAGAAUCUUUAACUUACAAAAUUGAGUUUGUGAUACGAUGUAAUCCGUAACAAUUUUCUGGAGUUAUAAUAAUUACAGUGAACAUUCUCAUUUCUGUAGUGCUGAAGAGACAGCCUGGUCUACAAAUCUUGUUCUCCAGAUUUUAUUUAUUUGGUACAGACCCCCCACUCCAAAAAACCUUGAAAAUUUCAUUUGUGUCGCAAAAGUGAUCAUUUUCAUUUCUAUCUAUUGUAAUUGCAAUAUCUGUCAAAAUAUUGCAAUAUGAUGUUUUUACCAUGCAGUCCUAACUCAAAUGAGACUCAAAAAUAGAAAUGAUGCUGAAACCUCCUCCCUCUGUGAUCACUAAUCCUGGUGUUAAUGUGUGCCUUCUUGGCCGGGAGGAGGGGGUUGUUAUUGUUUUGGUGUGAUUUCACUGCUCUGUGCAGAUCUACAUGUUAAGUAGGUCAGUAUUACAUGGGCGACAAAGCUUAACCCCAUUCUGCGGCAGCUGGCCAUCGGGCUGUCACUGGUGUCAGAUAAGAGCAAACAUCCUCUCUGCAACAGGGAAGUGAUCACGGGAAUAAUUAACAGGAGGUGAACACUCGAAAUAAACAGGGAACUACGCUAAGCAGGUUUAGUUGCAUUGCCGUGUGAACAGCCAAAUCCAGAAAGGGUGUGUUCGACAACAGAGCUGAGAGACAUGUGAUCUGUUCUCUGCUUACAGUUGUCGUGCUAAGCUAGCUAAGCUAAACACAUCCCACCUGUGUAUAGGAAGUGCAGGGUGCACAAUUUCCAAAAUAUCAGAUUAUUCCUUUAAGAAGAGUGACACUCCUCUUACACAAAUGCGUGUUCAACUGUAGAAAGGCCUCUAAAUGAACAGCUAAUUAACCAAAAACAUUACAGUAUAAUGCAUAACUAAUAGGCAUUUAAUCAAAGAGCAGUACCAGCCCUGCACAUGUGCACUCUGCACUGAACACCCAGCCACAGAUAGGGCAGCGCAGUCAGGCACUGACUGCAGGUCCUCUGAGAGCAGCCAUCAGUCAGAGACUCAGACAUGUGGCCCUGCAGUCCACUACAGCAGGAUGCUGCGAAUCAGCUCACUGUUUCCACUUGAUUAGGCAGCGACACGAGUCAAAUGCUCGAAUGAAAACAGGUGCUGCUGCGUUACAUUUUAACCUUAUUCCUGUACCCUGUUUAGUUGGCCAUAUGUUUGAUCUUAAAGACAUUUUAGCCAAAAGGGAUGAAUUCAGGCUUUUUCAGUGAUUUUUCUCUGUCCCCAGCACUCAUUAUCAGCAAAUACAGUCAAAUAAUACCAAACAGACACAUAGAUGGCAACGAUGCAUCCACUGCAGAGUGACACAGAGGCAGAAACAUCUGCACACACGAUCAAUAUUUCAUUACAGAAUGUGGCGCCUUCCGUACAAUAUGGUAAAAAGAAUUGCCUUACAGACAAUGCCCACAGGAGCUGACCCAAAUACAGCACUGAUACAACUGUUAUGACAGAUACAAGUGGUUAAUACAGCUCUUCUGUCAAAUAUUGGCAUGACCUAACUCAACAAAUUGGGUAACAGUGUGUGUCCAUUUUAAAUCACAUGACUUGCAGAAUGACUGCAGGCGAAAUGCAAAAUGAGAGGACAAGAGGGGGAAAUCUCAUUAGGGAUGUUAAGAACAUUGAAUAGGGAUACAAUUACAGAUGGCACACGGCUUUAAAGAGCUGCUAACCCUGAAGGAAUUUCAUUAGUCUGGGUUUCGGUGAAGUUUAGUGUCCCAGGACACUUGACAAUUGGUUUGGCAAUAUUUAUGUGUGCCACUGCCACUGAUUGGUGUUUUAUUAUCCAACAUUAACACAGUUGAUCCAGGACAUACGGGGAAGUGUUUUAAUGGAAUAUCUGAAAUACCUUGACAAAUAAUGGAUAACAGUUUGCUUCCCAGAAGAUCAACCUUAAUGAAUCUAGUGAUCCCUUGACUUUCCUUUAACACAGUGGUUCUUAAACUUUUCAGAAGCAGAAAAAAGUUCACACUGACCAUCCCACAAUGUUCUUGCAAUCCUUAUCAAUAGGGGAAGCAAAACUAAUAAAAAAAAGGAUCCAGGAAUUGUAGAGAAAUAAAGGUCAGCACUUACUUACUGUGCGUCUCUGUCUGUCUCUGUCUGUCUGUCUGUCUGUCUGUCUCU